AAGAAGACCCUAUGAAUUUUAAAAUCAAUAACUUUUUUUUAUAAAAGCUUACUGAUUUUUAGUUGGGGCAACUAAAAAAUAUUAUAAACUUUUUUAUUAAUAAAAUGACCCAUUAUUAGUGAUCAUUUGGAAAAAAUACUCUAGGGAUAACAGCGUAAUAAUUUUUGAUAGAACAUAUAGACAAAAUAGUUUGCGACCUCGAUGUUGGAUUAGGAUUCUUUUUUAAUGAAGAUGUUAAAAAAAGAAGUUUGUUCAACUUUUAAAUCUCCUACUUGAUCUGAGUUC
Molecule: ribosomal RNA, 285 nt
Filed under: Dermacentor albipictus
Lineage: Eukaryota; Metazoa; Arthropoda; Arachnida; Ixodida; Ixodidae
Description: partial 16S ribosomal RNA
Rfam family: Bacterial large subunit ribosomal RNA (bases 146-285)
Source: RNAcentral